UACGGAGGGUGCAAGCGUUAAUCGGAAUCACUGGGCGUAAAGCGCGCGUAGGCGGCCCUGUAAGUCGGAUGUGAAAUCCCACGGCUCAACCGUGGAAUUGCAUUCGAUACUGCGGGGCUUGAGUGCGGGAGAGGGUGGCGGAAUUCCCGGUGUAGGAGUGAAAUCCGUAGAGAUCGGGAGGAACACCAGUGGCGAAGGCGGCCACCUGGACCGUAACUGACGCUGAGGCGCGAAAGCGUGGGGAG
RNAcentral lists this ribosomal RNA (245 nucleotides) under uncultured bacterium. Its description in RNAcentral is "partial 16S ribosomal RNA". It matches the Rfam family "Bacterial small subunit ribosomal RNA", at positions 524 to 768 of the family's 1533-position model. The record is from RNAcentral.